GCCCGCAUAGCUCAGUGGUAGAGCAUUGUACUUAUGAGGAUAAUUAAUCCAUGCAACAUGCAAGGGUCUCCAGUUCGAUCCUGGGUGGGGGCA
This is a non-coding RNA of Armillaria nabsnona, 93 nucleotides long. The record is from the annotation of a GenBank genome assembly. Lineage: Eukaryota; Fungi; Basidiomycota; Agaricomycetes; Agaricales; Physalacriaceae.